Molecule: ribosomal RNA, 177 nt
Filed under: Rhizopus arrhizus
Lineage: Eukaryota; Fungi; Mucoromycota; Mucoromycetes; Mucorales; Rhizopodaceae
Description: Rhizopus oryzae 5.8S ribosomal RNA
Rfam family: 5.8S ribosomal RNA (bases 1-154)
About the family: 5.8S ribosomal RNA (5.8S rRNA) is a component of the large subunit of the eukaryotic ribosome. It is transcribed by RNA polymerase I as part of the 45S precursor that also contains 18S and 28S rRNA. Functionally, it is thought that 5.8S rRNA may be involved in ribosome translocation.
Source: RNAcentral
AACUUUUAACAAUGGAUCUCUUGGUUCUCGCAUCGAUGAAGAACGUAGCAAAGUGCGAUAACUAGUGUGAAUUGCAUAUUCAGUGAAUCAUCGAGUCUUUGAACGCAGCUUGCACUCUAUGGUUUUUCUAUAGAGUACGCCUGCUUCAGUAUCAUCACAAACCCACACAUAACAUUU